Molecule: ribosomal RNA, 1200 nt
Filed under: uncultured bacterium
Lineage: Bacteria
Description: partial 16S ribosomal RNA
Rfam family: Bacterial small subunit ribosomal RNA (bases 1-666)
Source: RNAcentral
AGUAAUGCAUAGAUAAUGUCCCCCCUUAGUUCGGGAUAGCCACUGGAAACGGUGAUUAAUACCGGAUACUCCUUCCUUGUUAUAAGACAAGUCGGGAAAGUUUUUCGCUAAGGGAUCAGUCUAUGUUCCAUCAGCUUGUUGGUGAGGUAAUGGCUCACCAAGGCUAUGACGGAUAUCUGGUUUGAGAGGAUGAUCAGACACCCCGGAACUGAGACACGGUCCAGACUCCUACGGGAGGCAGCAGUGAGGAAUAUUGCCCAAUGGAGGAAACUCUGAUGCAGCAACGCCGCGUGGAGGAUGACGCAUUUCGGUGUGUAAACUCCUUUUAUUAGGGAAGAUAAUGACGGUACCUAAUGAAUAAGCCCCGGCUAACUCCGUGCCAGCAGCCGCGGUAAUACGGAGGGUGCAAGCGUUACUCGGAAUCACUGGGCGUAAAGGGUGCGUAGGCUGGCUUUUAAGUCAGAUGUGAAAUCCAAUGGCUCAACCAUUGAACUGCAUUUGAAACUGAAAGCCUAGAGUUCAGAAGGGGCAGAUGGAAUUAGUGGUGUAGGGGUAAAAUCCGUAGAUAUCACUAGGAAUAUCAAAAGCGAAGGCGAUCCUAGUAAUGCAUAGAUAAUGUCCCCCCUUAGUUCGGGAUAGCCACUGGAAACGGUGAUUAAUACCGGAUACUCCUUCCUUGUUAUAAGACAAGUCGGGAAAGUUUUUCGCUAAGGGAUCAGUCUAUGUUCCAUCAGCUUGUUGGUGAGGUAAUGGCUCACCAAGGCUAUGACGGAUAUCUGGUUUGAGAGGAUGAUCAGACACCCCGGAACUGAGACACGGUCCAGACUCCUACGGGAGGCAGCAGUGAGGAAUAUUGCCCAAUGGAGGAAACUCUGAUGCAGCAACGCCGCGUGGAGGAUGACGCAUUUCGGUGUGUAAACUCCUUUUAUUAGGGAAGAUAAUGACGGUACCUAAUGAAUAAGCCCCGGCUAACUCCGUGCCAGCAGCCGCGGUAAUACGGAGGGUGCAAGCGUUACUCGGAAUCACUGGGCGUAAAGGGUGCGUAGGCUGGCUUUUAAGUCAGAUGUGAAAUCCAAUGGCUCAACCAUUGAACUGCAUUUGAAACUGAAAGCCUAGAGUUCAGAAGGGGCAGAUGGAAUUAGUGGUGUAGGGGUAAAAUCCGUAGAUAUCACUAGGAAUAUCAAAAGCGAAGGCGAUCCU